This 465-nucleotide ribosomal RNA is filed under the name Vreelandella stevensii. Its description in RNAcentral is "partial 16S ribosomal RNA". It matches the Rfam family "Bacterial small subunit ribosomal RNA", at positions 338 to 795 of the family's 1533-position model. The record is from RNAcentral. Lineage: Bacteria; Pseudomonadati; Pseudomonadota; Gammaproteobacteria; Oceanospirillales; Halomonadaceae.
CCUACGAGGGGCUGCAGUGGGGAAUAUUGGACAAUGGGGGGAACCCUGAUCCAGCCAUGCCGCGUGUGUGAAGAAGGCCCUCGGGUUGUAAAGCACUUUCAGUGAGGAAGAACGCCUGGUGGUUAAUACCCAUCAGGAAAGAUAUCACUCACAGAAGAAGCACCGGCUAACUCCGUGCCAGCAGCCGCGGUAAUACGGAGGGUGCGAGCGUUAAUCGGAAUUACUGGGCGUAAAGCGCGCGUAGGUGGCUUGAUAAGCCGGUUGUGAAAGCCCCGGGCUCAACCUGGGAACGGCAUCCGGAACUGUCAAGCUAGAGUGCAGGAGAGGAAGGUAGAAUUCCCGGUGUAGCGGUGAAAUGCGUAGAGAUCGGGAGGAAUACCAGUGACGAAGGCGGCCUUCUGGACUGACACUGACACUGAGGUGCGAAAGCGUGGGUAGCAAACAGGAUUAGAUACCCUUGUAGUC